GAUUGAACGCUGGCGGCAUGCCUUCCACAUGCAAGUCGAACGGCAGCACGGGUGCUUGCACCUGGUGGCGAGUGGCGAACGGGUGAGUAAUACAUCGGAACAUGUCCUGUAGUGGGGGAUAGCCCGGCGAAAGCCGGAUUAAUACCGCAUACGAUCUACGGAUGAAAGCGGGGGACCUUCGGGCCUCGCGCUAUAGGGUUGGCCGAUGGCUGAUUAGCUAGUUGGUGGGGUAAAGGCCUACCAAGGCGACGAUCAGUAGCUGGUCUGAGAGGACGACCAGCCACACUGGGACUGAGACACGGCCCAGACUCCUACGGGAGGCAGCAGUGGGGAAUUUUGGACAAUGGGCGAAAGCCUGAUCCAGCAAUGCCGCGUGUGUGAAGAAGGCCUUCGGGUUGUAAAGCACUUUUGUCCGGAAAGAAAUCCUUGGCCCUAAUACGGUCGGGGGAUGACGGUACCGGAAGAAUAAGCACCGGCUAACUACGUG
Molecule: ribosomal RNA, 487 nt
Filed under: uncultured bacterium
Lineage: Bacteria
Description: partial 16S ribosomal RNA
Rfam family: Bacterial small subunit ribosomal RNA
Source: RNAcentral